CCUACGGGAGGCAGCAGUGAGGAAUAUUGGUCAAUGGACGCAAGUCUGAACCAGCCAUGCCGCGUGCAGGAAGACGGCUCUAUGAGUUGUAAACUGCUUUUGUACGAGGGUAAACUCAGAUACGCGUACCUUUCUGAAUGUAUCCUACGAAUAAGGAUCGACUAACUCCGUGCCAGCAGCCGCGGUAAUACGGAGGAUCCAAGCGUUAUCCGGAUUUAUUGGGUUUAAAGGGUGCGUAGGCGGUCGGUUAAGUUAGGGGUGAAAUCCCGGGGCUCAACUUCGGAAUUGCCUCUGAUACUGUUAGGCUAGAGGGUAGUUGCGGUAGGCGGAAUGUGUGGUGUAGCGGUGAAAUGCUUAGAGAUCAUGCAGAACACCGAUUGCGAAGGCAGCUUACCAAGCUACAUCUGACGUUGAGGCACGAAAGCGUGGGGAGCAAACAGGAUUAGAUACCCUGGUAGUC
RNAcentral lists this ribosomal RNA (460 nucleotides) under uncultured bacterium. RNAcentral's name for it is "partial 16S ribosomal RNA". It matches the Rfam family "Bacterial small subunit ribosomal RNA", at positions 338 to 795 of the family's 1533-position model. The record is from RNAcentral.